AGGGUCAGACACACUAGUCAGGAAAGGUAAAUAUCAUUAAUGACCAAUUAAUAUGUUUAAUGGCCAUAUUAAAUGCAAAUAUACGUUAUUUAUGAGUGAUUGACAGAUCAUAUUGCACAAGAAUAUGAUAUUAAUGGACAAUUAACAGGUAUUAUUAAAUUUGAUUGUCUAGCUUAAUGAUUAAUCAAUGUGUUUGGCUACCGCAAA
RNAcentral lists this long non-coding RNA (207 nucleotides) under Vigna radiata. RNAcentral describes it as "long non-coding RNA (VRAD_LNC010515)". Lineage: Eukaryota; Viridiplantae; Streptophyta; Magnoliopsida; Fabales; Fabaceae. The record is from RNAcentral.